This 468-nucleotide ribosomal RNA is filed under the name Aeromonas sp. RNAcentral's name for it is "bacterial SSU rRNA". It matches the Rfam family "Bacterial small subunit ribosomal RNA", at positions 39 to 488 of the family's 1533-position model. The record is from RNAcentral. Lineage: Bacteria; Pseudomonadati; Pseudomonadota; Gammaproteobacteria; Aeromonadales; Aeromonadaceae.
GCGGCAGGCCUAACACAUGCAAGUCGAGCGGCAGCGGGAAAGUAGCUUGCUACUUUUGCCGGCGAGCGGCGGACGGGUGAGUAAUGCCUGGGGAUCUGCCCAGUCGAGGGGGAUAACAGUUGGAAACGACUGCUAAUACCGCAUACGCCCUACGGGGGAAAGGAGGGGACCUUCGGGCCUUUCGCGAUUGGAUGAACCCAGGUGGGAUUAGCUAGUUGGUGGGGUAAUGGCUCACCAAGGCGACGAUCCCUAGCUGGUUUGAGAGGAUGAUCAGCCACACUGGAACUGAGACACGGUCCAGACUCCUACGGGAGGCAGCAGUGGGGAAUAUUGCACAAUGGGGGAAACCCUGAUGCAGCCAUGCCGCGUGUGUGAAGAAGGCCUUCGGGUUGUAAAGCUACUUUUAGCGAGGAGGUAUAUAGGUUGGCGCCUAUAUACGUGUCUAUACUGUGACGUACUCGCAGAAGA